GACGUUUGUAGAAUAAAAUGCCCGGUUCUCGUUAGAUCACCUAAGUCAAGCAUCAUUGGGCGCGGUUAGUACUUGGGUGAGUGCCCACCUGGGAACACCGCGUGCCGUU
This is a non-coding RNA of Caerostris extrusa, 109 nucleotides long. Lineage: Eukaryota; Metazoa; Arthropoda; Arachnida; Araneae; Araneidae. The record is from the annotation of a GenBank genome assembly.